RNAcentral lists this ribosomal RNA (450 nucleotides) under uncultured bacterium. Its description in RNAcentral is "partial 16S ribosomal RNA". It matches the Rfam family "Bacterial small subunit ribosomal RNA", at positions 354 to 796 of the family's 1533-position model. The record is from RNAcentral.
GUGGGGAAUUUUGGACAAUGGGCGCAAGCCUGAUCCAGCAAUGCCGCGUGUGUGAAGAAGGCCUUCGGGUUGUAAAGCACUUUUGUCCGGAAAGAAAUGGCCUGGGUUAAUACCCCGGGUCGAUGACGGUACCGGAAGAAUAAGCACCGGCUAACUACGUGCCAGCAGCCGCGGUAAUACGUAGGGUGCGAGCGUUAAUCGGAAUUACUGGGCGUAAAGCGUGCGCAGGCGGCGAUGCAAGACAGAUGUGAAAUCCCCGGGCUCAACCUGGGAACUGCAUUUGUGACUGCAUGGCUAGAGUGCGUCAGAGGGGGGUGGAAUUCCGCGUGUAGCAGUGAAAUGCGUAGAGAUGCGGAGGAACACCGAUGGCGAAGGCAGCCCCCUGGGAUGACACUGACGCUCAUGCACGAAAGCGUGGGGAGCAAACAGGAUUAGAAACCCGUGUAGUCC